ACUAUAGGGGAACAGAGGAACUAUAGGGGAGCAGGUUAACUAUAGGGGAACAGAGGAACUAUAGGGGAACAGAGGAACUAUAGGGGAGCAGAGGAACUAUAGGGGAAUAGAGGAACUAUAGGGGAGCAGAUUAACUAUAGGGGAGCAGUUGAACUAUAGGGAGCAGAGGAACUAUAGGGGAGAAGAUGAACUAUAGGGGACUAGAUUAACUAUAGGGGAACAGAGGAACUAUAGGGGAAUAGAGGAACUAUAGGGGAGCAGAUUAACUAUAGGGGAACAGAGGAACUAUAGGGGAGAAGGUUAACUAUAGGGGAACAGAGGUACUAUAGCGGAGCAGAGGAACUAUAGGGGAGCAGAGGAACUAUAGGGGAGCAGAGGAACUAUAGGGAGUAGAGGAACUAUAGGGGAGCAGAGGAACUAUAGGGGAACAGAGGAACUAUAGGGGAACAGAGGAACUAUAGGGGAACAGAGGAACUAUAGGGGAGCAGAUGAACUAUAGGGAGCAGAGAAACAAUAGGGGAACAGAGGAACUAUAGGGGAGCAGAGGAACUAUAGGGGAGCAGAGGAACUAUAGGGGAGCAGAUUAACUAUAGGGGAGCAGAGGAACUAUAGGGGAACAGAGGAACUAUAGGGAGCAGAGAAACAAUAGGGGAGCAGAGGAACUAUAGGGGAACAGAGGAACUAUAGGGGAACAGAGGAACUAUAGGGGACUAGAUGAACUAUAGGGGAACAGAGGAACUAUAGGGGAGCAGAGGAACUAUAGGGGAGCAGAGGAACUAUAGGGGAGCAGAGGAACUAUAAGGGACAGGAUUAACUAUAGGGGAACAGAGGAACUAUAGGGGAGCAGAGGAACUAUAGGGGAGCAGAUUAACUAUAGGGGAACAGAGGAACUAUAGGGGAACAGAGGAACUACAGGGGAGCAGAUUAACUAUAGGGGAACAGAGGAACUAUAGGGGAACAGAGGAACUAUAGGGGAGCAGAGGAACUAUAGGGGAGCAGAGGAACUAUAGGGGAACAGAGGAACUAUAGGGGAACAGAGGAACUAUAGGGGAGCAGAUGAACUAUAGGGGAACAGAUGAACUAUAGGGGACUAGAUGAACUAUAGGGGAGCAGAGGAACUAUAGGGGAGCAAAUUAACUAUAGGGGAAUAGAGGAACUAUAGCGGAGCAGAGGAACUAUAGGGGAACAGAGGAACUAUAGGGGAGCAGAGGAACUAUAGGGGAGCAGAUGAACUAUAGGGGAGCAGAUGAACUAUAGGGGAACAGAGGAACUAUAGGGGAGAAGAGGAACUAUAGGGGAGCAGAGGAACUAUAGGGGAGCAGAGGAACUAUAGGGGACUAGAUUAACUAUAGGGGAACAGAGGAACUAUAGGGGAGCAGAGAGUGAUGGGUUUUCCAGUAGAACAUAGUGAUGUGUUUUCCAGUAGAACAUAGUGAUGGGUUUUCCAGUAGAACAUAGUGAUGGGUUUUCCAGUAGAACAUAGUGAUGGGUUUUCCAGUAGAACAUAGUGAUGGGUUUUUCAGUAGAACAUAGUGAUGUGUUUUCCAGUAGAACAUAGUGAUGGGUUUUCCAGUAGAAUAUAGUGAUGUGUUUUCCAGUAGAACAUAGUGAUGGGUUUUCCAGUAGAACAUAGUGAUGUGUUUUCC
RNAcentral lists this long non-coding RNA (1646 nucleotides) under Salmo salar (Atlantic salmon). RNAcentral's name for it is "lncRNA (ENSSSAG00000084791.1)". Lineage: Eukaryota; Metazoa; Chordata; Actinopteri; Salmoniformes; Salmonidae. The record is from RNAcentral.